UACGAAGGUCCCGAGCGUUGUUCGGAAUCACUGGGCGUAAAGGGAGCGUAGGCGGCAUGGUAAGUCAGAUGUGAAAUCCCGGGGCUCAACCCCGGAACUGCAUCCGAUACUGCCUUGCUUGAGGGUUGGAGAGGUGACUGGAAUUCUCGGUGUAGCAGUGAAAUGCGUGGAUAUCGAGAGGAACACUCGUGGCGAAGGCGGCUCUCUGGGACGGUACUGACGCUGAGACGCGAAAGCGUGGGGAGCGAACAGG
Molecule: ribosomal RNA, 253 nt
Filed under: uncultured bacterium
Lineage: Bacteria
Description: partial 16S ribosomal RNA
Rfam family: Bacterial small subunit ribosomal RNA
Source: RNAcentral